GAUUUCUUGUACGAUUUCUCCCCGCGGGCUCUCAGACGUGGCAUUAAGUGAUUUUUUGGCUUUGUAAUGGGAAUAUUGUAGAGUAUUUGUUGCGGUACGUGCGGUUGGUUGCCCGGCCUUACAGUUGUUUUUUAUCAGCCCAAAGCGCCCGAGGUCCAGAGCAAAGGAAAGGCGGUUGCAAAGCGCGGGUCGUUCUCACCGCAGACUGCAGAUUUUGAGUCUGCGGGAUGCUGACGUAUGUGUUGUGGCCAUACCAUAACAAGCCGGCGCUGCGAAAUGAGCCGACGAAUGACCCUUCCCUGCGGUUCCCCGGUUACUGGCAAUAUGGAUAUCUUUCUCGAACCAGUUGCCAUUUCGGUCGAGCCUCCUGCAGAUCGGAGCAGAUGUCGCCCAAGAUAAGGGAGCGUCAAGUGGUGGCUGAUGCAGAGGAAGGCUGAUGUCAGCGUGGGCACGUGUGGCGCCCGUCCCUGCGCUGAAGCACGACCUGCUGGGCCAAGCAGACCGAGCCGAGUGGCAGGCGCGUCCGGCCGCGGCUCCGGGCGGCGGCCGAGGCUCUCUUUCCUAAAACCGGGUUGUAGUUUGGUUGUUAGUCGACUGUAGGCGGCGACGCAGAGGGAGGAUGACUAAUUUUAGUUAAGAAAGCUGGACGGUUCGAGUUUUUUAUAAAGUUUUUCGACAUCGGUGAAAACGGAUGUUGUGCGCCCAUAGGUUUAUGUUUGCAUCUAGCCCACUAAGUCCGAUCUUCCAGCUCUCGACAUUGAGAGUUUUAGUAUAACAUAUAGUUUUCAUUAUAAAAUUAUUUGUCUAUUUAUCUGUACUUUAUUUUAAAGACAGAAAUUAACGGUUGACAUUUACAUAACAUUAGGUUUAACACUCUUUCAUGCAGUCACAAGAGCAUAGACAUCAUUUAACCAAAGUACAACAUGCAUUUUUGCAAGAAAAAAUAUAUAAUUCUCCAUCAGUGUUAUGUAAAUCACGAGCAAAAUUCAUGUCUAUAAGCAGCGUAAAUUUCCUCGAUAGCCUUAUAGUCGCGCUGUUGAGCAAUACCGUACUUCCAGUUUCCAGCUCUCGGUGACGUGCAGACACACAAUUUUGAAAUUUGUCAUCCUGAAUAUUGAUAACGAAACUGGAUUCUAAUUAAUGUUUGCUCUUGCACUGGGCAUUAUGAUCUUUAAACUACUUUUCUUUGUCCCUGAUUAUGUCUAAAUAUUUGUUUUCCUUUUAGAGUUAAAGAGAUAAGGUUCAUUUUUUAAAUUAAUUUUCCAGCUGUCUAUGAUUUUUUUUCUGAAAUUGUUGACCAUCUAAGGCAUAGCUUUUAAAACUUUAUACAAUGUUUUGUUAACUCGUUAUAUGUGUCUUAUAAGUAGGAACUAUUGAUGGGAAAUUAAUGUGGUAGCUGAAGAAGAAGAAACAAGUGGAAAUAAGAAGGAGGAAGAGGAAGAGGAGAAGAAGGAGAAGAGAUAAUUUAAUGAAUACACACUGAAGAAUACUCGGUGACCUUUGCUUGAUAUAAUCAGCUUUGAUCUCAAUUAUUUUUCCUUCAAUGUCUUCUUAUUUUCGGAAAUCUCCUCGCCGAUAGGUUGUUUGUCUCUGAACUUUUCCUAUCUAGUCUCAAGUCGUUGCUACACUAAUGCAGUUUAUCAGAGUUGUCUUUGAUUGCUUUAUUGUACUUCUCGGGUUAUCUUUAAUUGAAUUGCAUGAGAUAAGACGAUGCAGGCAACGUUCUGGUGCUUGCAAUCGAAAGGUCGUACACUUUCUUGUGUUGCAAUGAUUACGAGCGACAUUUUAUUUCAAGAUCUGUCUUGCAUUCUGUUUUCUUAUCUAUCUUUUCGUCUUUUAUUAGUUGUUUGGUUCUCCAUAUAUUUAUGUUAUCAGGUCUUG
This is a long non-coding RNA of Penaeus indicus, 1881 nucleotides long. RefSeq lists it as uncharacterized. The transcript has 3 exons. Lineage: Eukaryota; Metazoa; Arthropoda; Malacostraca; Decapoda; Penaeidae. The record is from RefSeq and is a predicted model, not a curated record.